Carassius auratus (goldfish) is the source of this 310-nucleotide long non-coding RNA. RefSeq lists it as uncharacterized. The record is from RefSeq and is a predicted model, not a curated record. Lineage: Eukaryota; Metazoa; Chordata; Actinopteri; Cypriniformes; Cyprinidae. The transcript has 3 exons.
GUGUUGUCUAGUUUGCAUCCUGAGUGUGAGUAUAUCUUUCAGUUGGCAAGAGAUGAACAGCGGUGUCUCAGAGAGAUCACAGAUCUCGGGAACCUCAGCAGCUCCUCAGGUUGUCUGCCAGUAUGGGAUUCAGUAGUGUGUUGGCCCAGGGCUGCAGUGGGUGAGACGAUCCACUCGCCCUGUCCUGCUGUUUUCUCUGUCAUCAAGAACAACACGGGUAUAGUGAGUCGUAACUGUACGCCUGGCGGCUGGUCACAUCCGUUCCCUCCGUACCAUGAGGCCUGCAGUGUUGAGGACGAAAUCCCAGAGG